Molecule: long non-coding RNA, 221 nt
Filed under: Elaeis guineensis (African oil palm)
Lineage: Eukaryota; Viridiplantae; Streptophyta; Magnoliopsida; Arecales; Arecaceae
Description: long non-coding RNA (EGUI_LNC011737)
Source: RNAcentral
GGGCUUCAGAGGGAGUAGAAAGAGUUUCUUUCUACUUAGAAAUAGAGAAAAAGUCGAAUUGCACGGCGGCAAUACCCUCAUCAUCAUAAUUUGCCAUCUAUACUAAGUAAAUGCAAAAAAAAUAAAAACUAAUCUGUAACCAGUAAAAAAAAUUGUGUAGAGCCGAAGAGAAAGAAGAGAUAGAGCGGAGAGCUAGAGAGCCGGAAGAAGAGGGCCGGGCU